AUUUUCCCGCUUCUUGUUUUUGGAAGUCCCGGUGCCCAAUGGAUCUUGUCCGGCGCAGCAAAACCUCCAAUCUGACAUAUGAAAUUUAAGCUAUAUUAAUUAUUCACGCUGAUUUGCAAAAGUUAUUGUACACAUCAUUAUCCCAUCUUGUGAGGUUACACGAUCAGUACAGUAUAACCUUUUUUUUAUAGCAGGUCAGUUAUCAUUUUGAUUGAGUUACCAACAACAACAACAACAACAACAAUGAAGGUAUAUUAUAGAAACUGUUAUUAUCUCAUGAGUCACAUGAUUUUGUAAAAAUAUUAUUUACAGUGUUGGUGCAUUUAGCUUAAAUCUCAUUAGUAUAUGAGGCUUAGGGUGCAGUCCCAUUACGAGCAACUCAAAAGAUUGAAUAUGCAUCAACAUAUUUAUCAAGACAAAAUCAUACCUUUUCUCUCACAACCUUUAUAAGGCUUUUUCUUAGUUCCUCACUGUAUGGAACACCUUCAGCCAAGGUAACAAAUGCGUAUAUACCUUGUCCUUUAACCUGACAUAACAUUUUCAAUAACAGGAUUAGACUUCUGAAAAAAAUCUGAUAAUCAAUCCUUAUGCAGCACACAGAAAAUGAGGGUACCUCAUGCUCCACACCAACUACAGCAGCUUCAACACACUGAGGAUGUGAAACUAGAGCGGAUUCUACUUCAGCUGUGCCAAUUCUGUGUCCACUGUUGCAAUGCAUUUGAAUGAGCAAUUAAUGGGCAAAGUGAAAAAAUUAAGUAAUUUUUUUAUUACCCCUUUUCUUCUCCUACAAAAAGAUUGUCUUUUCUUUGUGCUCCAUUCCAAACUUCCCUAGGUUGGAUCUAAUUCUCUAUAUUGUGUUACUACUCUUAGUUCUCCUACUUGGUAACAUUGAAACAAAUAAAUUAGAUAAGGAACUAAAAGGCGAGAAAUAAAAUAUUAAAAGUACACACAUAUAUAUAAAGUGAAGGACUAUAUAUACCUGACGUUAAUAACAUCAUCUACUCUGCCAGUGAGCCAGUAGUAACCAUCUUUGUCCCUAAAUCAAGAGUUUAUACAUGAAUAUGAUCACUGA
RNAcentral lists this long non-coding RNA (1072 nucleotides) under Nicotiana benthamiana. Its description in RNAcentral is "long non-coding RNA (NBEN_LNC002716)". Lineage: Eukaryota; Viridiplantae; Streptophyta; Magnoliopsida; Solanales; Solanaceae. The record is from RNAcentral.